GGAAUUGUUCGCAAUGGGCGAAAGCCUGACGACGCAACGCCGCGUGGAGGACGAAGCUUUUCGGAUCGUAAACUCCUUUCGAUCGGGACGAAUGACUGGUGACCCAACACGUCAUCAGAGUGACGGUACCGAGAGAAGAAGCCCCGGCUAACUCCGUCCCCGCAGCCGCGGUAAUACGGGGGGGGCAAGCGUUGUUCGGAAUUACUGGGCGUAAAGGGCGCGUAGGCGGCCUGCUAAGUCACACGUGAAAUCCCUCGGCUCAACCGGGGGACUGCGUGUGAUACUGGCGGGCUUGAAUUCGGGAGAGGGAUGUGGAAUUCCAGGUGUAGCGGUGAAAUGCGUAGAUAUCUGGAGGAACACCGGUGGCGAAGGCGGCAUCCUGGACCGAGAUUGACGCUGAGGCGCGAAAGCUAGGGUAGCAAA
RNAcentral lists this ribosomal RNA (423 nucleotides) under uncultured bacterium. Its description in RNAcentral is "bacterial SSU rRNA". It matches the Rfam family "Bacterial small subunit ribosomal RNA", at positions 358 to 772 of the family's 1533-position model. The record is from RNAcentral.